AUGAGCUAUCUUCAUCAUGGGAAGGCAUACACGUUGCACGACACCAACAUCUUAGAGCACCUCACCGAGCGACACGGCAUCAAUUCCUACCGUGUACAUGGCGAUACGGUUUACGAUCCGAGGUCGGAUCUCUCCCAAGGGGGAGGGGAUGAUGCAGAGCAUCCCAUGGUCAUCUCCAUGUACACCGUCAUAGCAGCUCGAGUCCCAUGUGGACCUACUGGAAUUAAGGUGAACCCGCUCUUCUUCGAGAAUAUCAUGAAUAUCCAUUGGACUUGCUUACUACCUCACCAAAGUGCUCUAUGUGUCCUUAGAUACGAAGACCGACGACCACAAGCUGGUGAGGAACACCCCAAAGGAGUAGGAGAAGGACCCCAAGGCCACAAGGAGGAAGAAGGAGUGUAA
RNAcentral lists this ribosomal RNA (402 nucleotides) under Triticum aestivum (bread wheat). Its description in RNAcentral is "partial small subunit ribosomal RNA". The record is from RNAcentral. Lineage: Eukaryota; Viridiplantae; Streptophyta; Magnoliopsida; Poales; Poaceae.